ACGGGUGAGUAACGCGUAAAGAACUUGCCGGAUGGACCGGGAUAACAGCUGGAAACGGCUGGCAAGACCGGAUACUGUGGGCUGGCCGCAUGGCUGGCCCAUGAAAAGGGAUGCCGUCCGAGAGCUUUGCGUCCUAUUAGCUGGUUGGUAAGGUGACGGCUUACCAAGGCGAUGAUAGGUAGCCGGCCUGAGAGGGUGGACGGCCACAAGGGGACUGAGAUACGGCCCUUACUCCUACGGGAGGCAGCAGUGGGGAAUAUUGGACAAUGGGGGCAACCCUGAUCCAGCAAUUCUGUGUGCACGAAGAAGGUUUUCGGAUCGUAAAGUGCUUUCAGCAGGGAGGAAGGAAGUGACUGUACCUGCAGAAGAAGCGACGGCUAAAUACGUGCCAGCAGCCGCGGUAAUACGUAUGUCGCGAGCGUUAUCCGGAAUUAUUGGGCAUAAAGGGCAUCUAGGCGGCCGGGUAAGUCCGGGGUGAAAACUGCUGGCUCAACCAGCAGCCUGCCUUGGAAACUACCCGGCUGGAGUGCUGGAGAGGUGGACGGAACUGCACGAGUAGAGGUGAAAUUCGUAGAUAUGUGCAGGAAUGCCGAUGAUGAAGAUAGUUCACUGGACGGCAACUGACGCUGAAGUGCGAAAGCUAGGGGAGCGAACAGGAUUAGAUACCCUGGUAGUCCUAGCUGUAAAC
This 688-nucleotide ribosomal RNA is filed under the name uncultured bacterium. RNAcentral describes it as "bacterial SSU rRNA". It matches the Rfam family "Bacterial small subunit ribosomal RNA", at positions 102 to 807 of the family's 1533-position model. The record is from RNAcentral.